AUAAAGCAUAUGCAUGGGUUAGUGAUGCAACUUUUUGAAUACAAGACUAUACAACUUUCCUUCAUGAUAAAGUUGCAAGCCAACAAGUGACUACACAAUUUAUCAUGAUAAAGUUGCAAGCCAACACACAAAAACCCGAAAAGAUUAACCCACCAUUUUUAUUUCUUUUACUAACCUUACCCUAGGCUUUUUCUUUUGUUUUUAGAAAAUAUUAUAAUUAUUUUCUAGCCUCAAAAUCUAGUUUCCUAUGGGUUAAUAAUGAUUUAUGAUUAUGAAAACAUUAUUCCAUAUUUUAUGCAUUUAAUAAAGUUUAAGUAUUUAUUUAAAUACCUUAAUGAAAAGGUAUUAAACAAAUACCUAAAUUUUAUUAUUUUUCCUAGGGUAUAAAAAUUUUAAUGCAUAAAGGAAAAUAAAACAAUCCUAACAAAAUUGGUUUCACUAAUUUUGGACACCCCUAGAAAUUUCUGUGAUUUAAAUGGUGAUAUACGGAUUUAAUCUAUUAUUCUAAUAAAGGAAAUCUAUAUAUUUCCCAAAAACCCCCGGCUUAACUUUUCUUACUCACCCCCUUCCUACCCCCUCUCUCUUACGCUGGGCCCACAGCUCGGACCCACCUCUUUCUCCUAUUUCUUCUACCCGCCGGCCCUUUCCUCCUUUGUUGGGCUCACUGGGUCGAUUUUUUCUCCCAUCCUUCUUUCUUAAACCGACGCCGGCCCAACGGCACAACUCUUUUUUUCUUUUUCUUUCCGCGGCACCAGCCUUCCAAGACGGCCCAAUGGCCUCGCACUGGCGCCUGGGCCUACUGGACCCCGACCUUCUUCUU
Molecule: long non-coding RNA, 820 nt
Filed under: Setaria viridis
Lineage: Eukaryota; Viridiplantae; Streptophyta; Magnoliopsida; Poales; Poaceae
Description: long non-coding RNA (SVIR_LNC001840)
Source: RNAcentral